GCCGGAGUGGUGAAAUUGGUAUACACGCAGCGUUCAGGGCGCUGUGAGCGAAAGCUCAUGGGAGUUCGAGUCUCCCCUCCGGCA
Molecule: transfer RNA, 84 nt
Filed under: Candidatus Parcubacteria bacterium
Lineage: Bacteria; Candidatus Parcubacteria
Description: tRNA-Leu
Rfam family: tRNA
About the family: Transfer RNA (tRNA) molecules are approximately 80 nucleotides in length. Their secondary structure includes four short double-helical elements and three loops (D, anti-codon, and T loops).
Source: RNAcentral